Molecule: ribosomal RNA, 208 nt
Filed under: uncultured marine archaeon
Lineage: Archaea
Description: partial 16S ribosomal RNA
Rfam family: Archaeal small subunit ribosomal RNA
Source: RNAcentral
AGGGGCUACGGCAGGUCAGUAUGCCCCGAAACUCUGGGGCCACACGCGGGCUGCAAUGGUAGUGACAAUGAGGUUCCAAACUCGAAAGAGAGUGGCAAUCUCUAAACGCUACCACAGUUAUGACUGAGGGCUGUAACUCGCCCUCACGAAUAUGGAAUCCCUAGUAACCGCGUGUCAUUACCGCGCGGUGAAUACGUCCCUGCUCCUU